AUUUAUGUAGUUUAAAUAAAACAUUACAUUUUCAUUGUAAAAUAAUCAUAAGCAUGUUCUUAAAUA
RNAcentral lists this transfer RNA (66 nucleotides) under Bolivaritettix lativertex. RNAcentral's name for it is "tRNA-Glu". The record is from RNAcentral. Lineage: Eukaryota; Metazoa; Arthropoda; Insecta; Orthoptera; Tetrigidae.